This 443-nucleotide ribosomal RNA is filed under the name uncultured bacterium. RNAcentral describes it as "partial 16S ribosomal RNA". It matches the Rfam family "Bacterial small subunit ribosomal RNA", at positions 338 to 795 of the family's 1533-position model. The record is from RNAcentral.
CCUACGGGUGGCAGCAGUGGGGAAUAUUGGGCAAUGGGCGCAAGCCUGACCCAGCAACGCCGCGUGAAGGAAGAAGGCUUUCGGGUUGUAAACUUCUUUUCUCAGGGACGAAGCAAGUGACGGUACCUGAGGAAUAAGCCACGGCUACCGACGUGACAGCAGCCGCGGUAAUACGUAGGUGGCAAGCGUUAACCGGAUUUACUGGGAGUAAAGGGCGUGUAGGCGGGACUGUAAGUCAGAGGUGAAAACCAUGGGCCCAACCUAUGGCCUGCAUUUGAAACUGUAGUUCUUGAGUACUGGAGAGGCAGACGGAAUUCCUAGUGUAGCGGUGAAAUGCGUAGAUAUUAGGAGGAACACCAGUGGCGAAGGCGGUCUGCUGGACAGCAACUGACGCUGAGGCGCGAAAGCGUGGGGAGCAAACAGGAUUAGAUACCCUUGUAGUC